AUACGUUUGGCUUUCCCUCUCCUUUGCCUCUGCACUGUGCCCAUCACAGGCAGUUGCUCUGCUCUGUGACAGCUCCCUAGCUAACACAAUUAAGCAGGGCAUUGUAAAUUAAGUAUAGCCUGGCAUCAGCACUGGUAUAUGUAACAGACUACAAAUUUCACUGCCUACAUCAGGAAAUGUUUGCCGGCCUAAAUCCUACAAGGUCUGUUAGUUUUUGCAGAGGGUCCCCACAGACCACACUGUAGGAGUAAGAUGACGCCGUGAGCUGCUUCCCACUGGACUGCAGCUGGAGCAUCCCCUAAGAAGAGGUCGACCAGGAGCAAGGUUCUUUAUGGUAGCCACAAACAAUGAAGGUCCCUAGGGAAUAACUCUGGUGUUCAUUUUGCAAGACACACUCCACUGAGGUCCACUGUCCAGUGUGCAAGAGCUGGGGGGCUCUCUGCCUAUGGCAAAACACCACAGCUUCAGAAACUGAACUACAGCUGAGCUCUGCACCACAGCGUUUUCAGGCCCUCCUGCCCAGCAGCUCUCCAGCCUUUCCCACUUUGGAUGGGAAGUAUCAAAUGGAGCAUGCAGAAUAAAGAAGAUGGUCUUUGCUGUGCAUCUGAUCUCCAGAUGGGACCUUUCAGUCUGUUUCCUGGAAAUCCCUUCAGGAAAUGAGGGCUGAAAGGAGUGGGGAAGCACCCAUACCAGGGCUAAAAGUGAGGCAUGGAGAAGACAAAAUUGUCUGAGACAUGGAGUAGUUUCAUAGAAACACAGAAUCAUAAAACCAUAGAAACAUUAAGGUCGGAAAAGACCACUAGGAUCACGUAGUCCAACCAUCAACUCACCACCAUCAUGCCCUCUAACCAUGUCCCUUAGUGCCAUAUCCACAUGGUUCUUGAACACCGUCUCCCUGGGCAACCUGUUCCAAUGCCCCACCACUCUUUCUGAGAAGAAAUUUUUCCUCAUAUCCAACCUGAACCUCCCCUGGAGCAACUUCAGGCCAUUAUCUCUCAUCCUGUUGCUAGUUACUGUGGUACUGUGUACUUCUGACACCAUUCAACCUACAACUACUUCAUACUCCUCUUCAGCUGCCUCUAGAUUUCCAGGUUAGGAAAACUACAUUCCAGCAUUACUAGUAGUAGCAUUUCAUCCUCAUUAGUGUUAGUUGUCAUCUUCAGCCUCCAUUUAAAUGUGUUUGCUCUGAGAUCUUCACACACAGUCUUACCUGUGCCUCUGCUUUUCGGCACUGCUCUAUGCAAUAGAAAGCAGACUAGGAUAAAGUUAUCAUUUACCUCACAAAAAAUUUAUGCUUUCUGAGCUACUUCAGAGAAUUUGGAUAUUGAUUAGCUGGGAGUAUGCUCCCAGUAAGCUGCAAAGCUUGGGGAUCUGCUAAUGGAAUAUCAAUAUCGCAAAGCUUGCAGGCUGAAAAAUCAGGAUAUGCACCUAAAGAAUCCUGUGAGAUUGUUACACUUGCUUUUGAUAUCUCAUUAUAUAUUGGUCAUCUGGCUUACUCUUAUUUUUAACUCUUUCACUACCCCUUUUCUAAGGUGGGAAAUUUUCAGUAAAAUCUAUCAGAAGCAGAGCAGAUAUGUUCUGUGAUUCCUGAAAGAGGGCUGGGGUGAUCCCCCUCUUUGGAGGCUGCCUCUUAAUGCUGCUGCAACCAGCCUGUUUCGUAGUCCCUCUGCCUCCACUCCUGCUAAGCACCAUCUUCUUCUACCACUAGCACUAGCAAGACAGGUUAACAGCAGAGAGUGCAAUGGGCUGUAAGUUUUGACAAGAUAACUGGGCUCUUCUUCCUUUUGCCACAGUGACCUCCAAGAGCUGAAGGGGAAUGUCUGGAUCUUCCACUUUAACACCAUGUCCAACAUCCUCCUGUCCUCUGUAGUACUUCAAGAGAUGGUAGUAUGCUCAAAUGAUGGUGACCGACUGCAGCAUUUAGUGGCUCAAGUACUGCAUCAAAGAAGAUUUUGGUUUGAAUUCUUCAGCCACUGAGAAUUUGUGUGCAUACUGCAAUGAAGUAAGUUUUUUUCCAGAGUCAUUACCCUUGUAAAAGCGUGCCAUUUGGCAACCUUGAUGCACAGAGAGGUUUUACAGCUAGUGUUCAGUUUCAGUGUACCAUCUCUUGUGUGAAGACAUUGAAUGACCUCCAUGUGAUGACUCAGGGCCAAACUGAUAGCAAGGGUUUGAAUACUGAAUAAUGUGAAAAACAGUAGACGAUGGCUUGGAUCAAAGAAGACUUCCCACUCCUGUUUUUGGAGGGCUGCUAGAUGAAGUAGCGGAGCAGAUGUUCACAAAGGUUUAGCCCAGAUCCCCAGACCUUAAGAAGUUCUCUCAAGAAAUGUGCAUCAUUUCAGUUUCUUCUGGGGAGAAUUACAGAAAAAGAGGACCAUACAAAUUCCUUUUAUUUGUCCAGUAACCCAGAUGCAGCUGUUUCUUGAGAACAUUACAAUGUUGGAGAGGGGGAAGUUACCCCUGCUGUUUACAUUCAUCUCUAUUCAAGGGGUAGCAAAACCAAGAAUUUUAACAAACAGUCAGCAACUUGGGAGGUUCUGGAGCCUGCCACCACCAAGCAAAAAGUGGAGAUCUUCUUGCACAUUUAAUGACUUGAUUACUAAACUCAGACUGUUUACCGUAAAAAAGCAUCAGUGUAGUCUGGUAGGUAAUUAAUCUACUGAUAAGCCUAUCUACCUGCAGCUCACCUCCUUUCUCUACUUACUCUCUUAUUUCUGGCUCUACUCCAUUAACUGUGCACACAUUUAAAGCAUUUAUGCUUUUUACUCUCCAUAGCUGGUUUCAGUCAGUAGCAGGUCAUAGUCCUUGCUUCCUACUUUCUCAGAGUAGGCUUGUGAAUAUGAAUGUCUUGUUGGCUUGGUUUGAAUCUGUGUUCUCUUCCCUGGUAUGGAACAGUUCUGCCUCUGAGCUGAGAGGAUAAAGUGCUUGUUACUACAGCCCUGCCUUACAUAAGUAUUUGGUUUUAAGUCUAAUUAUUUUACAAUUCUUCUUAGCUGGCAAUGAACUGCUGUGAUAACAGGGCCUGUGGAACUACCAAUAAGAUCAUCUAAACAUGCCUCUUCAAGCAGAUUUUAAUCUCCUUUUAUCCUGAUGGUAAACUCCCUGAUAUUUGGGGUUUCCUUUUACUUGGACCAAAUGUUUGCCACACCAAAAUAUUCUGGAGGCAUCUGACCCUGAGCAGGGCAGGAGGCCAUACCUGAAUGAGAUCACACAAAAUCUCCCACAUCACCUGCAUCAGGGUGAUCAUGUUCACCUGGUUCUGAGCAUCCCCAUGCACCUCUGUUCACUCUCCUUACACCUCUCCAUCUUCUGGAAGGAAAACAGCCAAAGGCCUGAAAUUGGCCCAACAAGGAAGGAGUCUGUGUGCAGUUGUAACAUUUUCCAUUACAAAGAAGAGAGGGAGCACAGAAGUCAUUCCUGACAAAGUGCAGAAGUUCAUGAAUGCCAGAUUAACAGAUAUAAACCUGUAAUGCAUCAGGUUAUCAGAUUUGUCUCUAGAUGCUCAUCCCCCUGCCCUGGUAUCAGCUUCUGUAAAUUACCUGGCAACUUCUGAAGGCAUUAGUGCCUUUCUCUGUUGCGUCUGUAAUAAUAUUAAAUCUGAAAUGACUUUCUUAAAGUUUUAAAAAUAUCCUAGUUCCUGUUUCAAAUCUGGCUGAAGUUAAUAGGAAUGGGCUUAAGUGAUUUCAGUCAAGGUUCAGGAACUUCAAAAAGAGCACUGGAACAGGCUGCCCAGGGGGGCUGUGGAGUCUCCCUCUCUGGAGAUAGUCAAAACCCGCCUGGACUCUUUUCUGUGUGACCUACGUAAGGAACCUGCUUUGCAGGGGGUUGGACUGGAUGAUCUCCAGAUUUCCCUUCCAACCCCUACAAUUCUGCAAUCCUGUGAAAAACUUGCUAGAAAUUAUUUGGAAUUACAUACAUUUAUUAAAUUAUUAUGUGGUUGGCAGCUAUAGCAGGUGAGGGCCCCCCUCAACAAAUGGCCAGUGUGAAACAGCAGCUCCUGACCUCUCUGCUGCCCCAUGGGGAAGCCAUCCUCAGAAACGACCACUGUGGUGUGGUUACAUCUUGGACACAACAGCCACUUCAGCUCCUCCAUUACGAGAUGUGAGACCAGUUAUGAGAUCCACAGACCACAGGUGAGCAUUUCUAUUGUGCCCACUGUAGAAAAGCUCCUUUCUCCACUCCAGCUGCUGUUCACCAUCAUGUACAUCUGCAGACUCUUCAGCAGUGCUUCAACAGAUGUCUUAAACAACAUCCUCACAUCCCCAGCCUCCUGCUCAGCUGAUGUGACUGAGAUGAACAUUUUUUAGGACCAAGUGUGCUGUGGGCUCAUGCCUCCCAAGAAAUUAUUGCUUUGCUAGAGGAUCCCAGCAGACAAUCGGCUUGCUCCUGGGAUGGACACAAAUGGACAAAUGGCAAUGAUGGUGCCUCUGCCCUCAGGAAACUCACUGUCAGGAGUUUAAACCAGCACUACUUAAUAUAUUUUUAGCCAUGCCUCCUGUUGGGUAAUUUUACAAUUAUGAUUUCAUGAUUAGGAAGGGAGUGCAUAGCUUUCUGCUUUGCCAGGCUACUCUUUCUCAUCACACCUCCAGAAUAGGGAUCUACAGCUUCUGCCUGGGACACAAGGAGAAUAACAAGAAAGCAAACCACCUAGGAAAAAGUGGAAGGAGAUAGAAGAUAUCUAUACUCCGAGGAACAUUUAUUAGCAAAAAAAAAAAAAAAAAGAAGAAGAAGAAGAAGAAAAAGAAGAAGAAGUUACUAGAGCUAAAGAUCGCAGGAUUUUAUGGGAGCUCUGACAAAACUCUAUGGAUUUUGGAGCCUUUACUAGAGCAGAAGUGCUUAAGAACUUUAAUAACUUUUAAUAACAGCUUUUAAAUAGUAGAGUAUUCAGGUUAGUCUCUGCUCAUUUCUACUUGCUGCCAAACUGAGAAGUAACCUUACAGUGGGAGAUCUCUGCAGAUUUCUAAAGUAGAAGCUCCACACAGAAGCUUCUUAACAUUGCUCAUGUAAUGUUUUCCAGCCAGCCCUCAUCUCACAGCUCAUUGUUGGUGACAACAUCUUUACUUCAAAACAUCCUACACAUCUCUCUAGUUCUUGAAUUUAUGAUGUGCUGAAGUGGUUUUUGUACUGUUAUUUUUGGAAAUGUGGGGUUGGGGAAAAAUAAAUUGCACAUUAAAG
Long non-coding RNA from Gallus gallus (chicken), 5172 nucleotides. NCBI's taxonomy places the organism in Eukaryota, Metazoa, Chordata, Aves, Galliformes, Phasianidae. The record is from Ensembl.